AGCAUCCAGAGGAGAAACCAAAAUGGUGGAGAGUUUGGAAGUCUGGUCCUUCCAGGGAGCUGAAUGCCCAGAGGAUGUUGCGCUGGAGAAAGCUCGAGAGUGAUGGUCCCUGAAUCCAGGGCAGGGUAGGUUGUCCAGCAGAGGACAGUGGAGGAGUGUUGACCUUCCCAGAGGAGAGGAAACCAACCUUCUGUUCCCAGAAGAGAUUUUUCAAGAGAAACCAGAUAAGGAAAAUCUAUUUCUAUUGCUAAUGGUUCAUGUUAAACAUUACACCUCCAGGCAAAAAAACAAAACAUCUCUACAAGCCACAGCAUCUACUAGACAACUGUGAUGGAAACUGCAGAACCAUUCGAAUUUAGCAUUCUGAGCAACAUAAACGACUGGUUUGUAAUGAUUUGAGCAGCUCGAAAUGGGCAGGGUCUUACUGGCUCUGGGGUGGGAGAGUGAGCUCUCCUCUCAUUAGGGAUGUUUAAGCAUAAGGAUACUAAACAAAUAAUGCUGAAAUGUUGGAUGGGGUGACUUUGGAUCAAACCCACUCUUUAAAAUGAAAAUGCCUGGAUCUGACCCCAGAGAGUCCUACAGCAGUUGUGUGGCAAGGCCAGACAUCUGUGUAUCCUAGGAAUCCAGGUGGUUCUGAUGGGAAGACAAGAGCUGAGCACGUUCCAUUUGACGACCAUCAAGACCUGAAAGGACCACCACCCUCCUGAAAAACAAAAAACAAAAGCGGAUAAAAACAGACUUGUGGUUGCCAAGGGGGGAGGGGGAGGGAGGGAGAGAGACGGGAAGUUAGGGGUUAGCAGAUGCAAACUAUUGCAUUUGGAGUGAAUAAGCAAUGAGAUCCUGCUGUAUAGCACAGGGAACUAUAUCUAGUCACUUGUGAUGGAGUAUGACGGAGGAUAAUGUGAGAAAAAGAGCAUGUGUGUGUGUGUGUGUGUGUGUGUGUAUGACUGGGUCAUUUUGCUGUACUGCAGAAAUUGACAGAACAUUGUAAAUCAGCUAUAGCAGAAAAAAUAAAAAUCUUUAAAAAAAGGAAACA
RNAcentral lists this long non-coding RNA (1036 nucleotides) under Sus scrofa (pig). Its description in RNAcentral is "lncRNA (ENSSSCG00060018209.1)". Lineage: Eukaryota; Metazoa; Chordata; Mammalia; Artiodactyla; Suidae. The record is from RNAcentral.